CUGGCUCACUGGUUUUUGGGAUGGUCAAAUAUGCUCCUGUUUUUGAGCCAUAUUUUAAUCUCUACAGGUAUAAAAACACUUGCUUUAGUCCCCUGGAGAGUUUCACCAGCUUGAUUACAUGCUACAUGUGGCUUGACAGUGUAGAUGCAGCAUUACCAAGAGACUGAGCAGGGUUGUAUCAGAGUCACCUCUUUCAUCUGUAAAGGGUAAGUCUGUGACUACCCCUGCUGGGGCUGCUGUGUGUGCAUGUCUUUUUGGCAUUUGUGGAGCUUGGUUGUUUUUUUUUUUUGUGUGUGUGUGUGUAUGUUCUAAGUUUUUGUUUUUUUUUGAGGGGCAAAUCGUGUGUGUGCUGAGCAUGGUUGGCAGGAGGAGGUGGGGAGCUGCUCAGGACUGGUAGGUUUGGUUUCUAGGGGUGUGCGGCAGCCUUCCUGUGCAAUGCGACUGAUUGUUGGGCUGGAACGUUCCAGCUUUUGUGUGUCUUAAGCAAUGUAGCUUGUGUAGUGUGUGUUGUGUGGCCUGGGCAGAGUUUGCAGUGGUGCUGUGGGCGAAGAAUCUCAGUUAGAGCUGCUGAGCAGCUGAAGUACCGGAGCUGGGAAGAGAGAGGUCUUGCAGCAGGUACGCUGUGGCUGUGAGGUGCCUCAGAGUGUGCGUUUCUCUUGUCUCUGCAGGUGCUUUGUGCAGUUGUGGAGAGGGAAGGGAAAUCCUCAUGUCACGAAGCUCUGAGGGAAGGUGAGUGGUGUCAGCCAUGUCAUCGCUUAUCCGAAGCAAAGGGAAGACGCUCAGGUGUUUCCCUGUGAGGGUCCGAGGUGAGGCUGUUUGGGAUAGAGGAGCAGUGUGGCAGGUGGGUGCUUGCAAGCACAGUGGUUGUUUUGUCCUUUUGUGUUCCCAGGUGGCGUGGAUGACGCUGGCCGCUCCUUUCAAGCUUGGACCUAAUUUGCAGGUCCAGAGGCAAGUGGAGUGCUGUUUUGAAAGGAUAAAAGCUGAAAUGCAGUGUGUAGUGCGCAGUGCAGGAUGUCUCAACCCGAGCUGCCUCUGCAGUGACUCUGAGUAAAAUUCCAGUUUGCCUUUUAGAGGCGCUAUAAGUGGCGAAAGAGAACAGAUGGAAGCAUCUGCCGUGUGGGGCAGGCAGGCGGCUGAGGUACAGGAGGGGAUGAGAGUAUGUGCUUUUUCCUUUGGGUGGAAUGGAAUUGAUUUUGUUGGUGUAUAAUCUGUUCUGCUCCUGGGUUUUUCUUUCUAAGUUUAAAAAAAAACAUAAGUUUGAGCUAAUUCCAGUUAAGAAAGUUCCAGUUACUUGCUGAGUCGUAUUGUCCUCUUAAUAUUCAAAGCUGCAGCAAAAGCAUAGGGAUUGUUGCUUCUAGAAACACCCCAGUUCUCUUGUUUGUGCUCUGCAUGCUGUUGAGCUAAGGCAGAGUUAAAAAAAAAUAAUACAGGAAACACACACAAAAAACAAAAACAACAACAAAAAACACCAUUGGCUGACUUGUUGUGAACACAUCGAUCAUUUAAUUCCUUUGUUUUCCCGGGUGGUGUGGAUGAUACUGGCUGCACUGUUGGAGCUUGGACUCGGAGAGGAACACAUGAGCACAAUCGUAUGUUGCAUCAGUAGUAGUCAGCAUUGUGGAGAAGGUGAGCAAUGGGGCUGGCGUCCUAGUGAAUGCUGUUUCUCUGUUUUUGCAGCUGAUGAUGAGCCUGGCAAUUGACUAAGAUGACAAUCAGUGCCUGUGCAUUUCUUGAGGCAGAGAAACUUU
Molecule: long non-coding RNA, 1748 nt
Filed under: Anas platyrhynchos platyrhynchos (common mallard)
Lineage: Eukaryota; Metazoa; Chordata; Aves; Anseriformes; Anatidae
Description: lncRNA (ENSAPLG00000023603.1)
Source: RNAcentral